GGUGAACGCUGGCGGCGUGCCUAAUACAUGCAAGUCGAGCGAACGGACGAGAAGCUUGCUUCUCUGAUGUUAGCGGCGGACGGGUGAGUAACACGUGGAUAACCUACCUAUAAGACUGGGAUAACUUCGGGAAACCGGAGCUAAUACCGGAUAAUAUUUUGAACCGCAUGGUUCAAAAGUGAAAGACGGUCUUGCUGUCACUUAUAGAUGGAUCCGCGCUGCAUUAGCUAGUUGGUAAGGUAACGGCUUACCAAGGCAACGAUGCAUAGCCGACCUGAGAGGGUGAUCGGCCACACUGGAACUGAGACACGGUCCAGACUCCUACGGGAGGCAGCAGUAGGGAAUCUUCCGCAAUGGGCGAAAGCCUGACGGAGCAACGCCGCGUGAGUGAUGAAGGUCUUCGGAUCGUAAAACUCUGUUAUUAGGGAAGAACAUAUGUGUAAGUAACUGUGCACAUCUUGACGGUACCUAAUCAGAAAGCCACGGCUAACUACAUG
This 497-nucleotide ribosomal RNA is filed under the name uncultured bacterium. RNAcentral's name for it is "partial 16S ribosomal RNA". It matches the Rfam family "Bacterial small subunit ribosomal RNA", at positions 28 to 507 of the family's 1533-position model. The record is from RNAcentral.